RNAcentral lists this ribosomal RNA (253 nucleotides) under uncultured bacterium. RNAcentral describes it as "partial 16S ribosomal RNA". It matches the Rfam family "Bacterial small subunit ribosomal RNA", at positions 524 to 776 of the family's 1533-position model. The record is from RNAcentral.
UACAGAGGUCUCAAGCGUUGUUCGGAUUCAUUGGGCGUAAAGGGCGCGUAGGCGGGCGAUCAAGUCCGGGGUGAAAGCCUCCAGCUUAACUGGAGAAGUGCCUCGGAUACUGAUUGUCUUGAGGAGGGUAGGGGCAUCUGGAACUAGCGGUGGAGCGGUGAAAUGCGUUGAUAUCGCUAGGAACUCCGGUGGCGAAGGCGAGGUGCUGGACCCUUUCUGACGCUGAGGCGCGAAAGCCAGGGGAGCGAACGGG